This 497-nucleotide ribosomal RNA is filed under the name uncultured bacterium. RNAcentral's name for it is "partial 16S ribosomal RNA". It matches the Rfam family "Bacterial small subunit ribosomal RNA", at positions 28 to 507 of the family's 1533-position model. The record is from RNAcentral.
GAUGAACGCUGGCGGCGUGCCUAAUACAUGCAAGUCGAGCGAACAGACGAGGAGCUUGCUCCUCUGACGUUAGCGGCGGACGGGUGAGUAACACGUGGAUAACCUACCUAUAAGACUGGGAUAACUUCGGGAAACCGGAGCUAAUACCGGAUAAUAUAUUGAACCGCAUGGUUCAAUAGUGAAAGACGGUUUUGCUGUCACUUAUAGAUGGAUCCGCGCCGCAUUAGCUAGUUGGUAAGGUAACGGCUUACCAAGGCAACGAUGCGUAGCCGACCUGAGAGGGUGAUCGGCCACCCUGGAACUGGGACACGGUCCAGGCUCCUACGGGAGGCAGCAGUAGGGAAUCUUCCGCAAUGGGCGAAAACCUGACGGAGCAACGCCGCGUGAGUGAUGAAGGUCUUCGGAUCGUAAAACUCUGUUAUUAGGGAAGAACAAAUGUGUAAGUAACUAUGCACGUCUUGACGGUACCUAAUCAGAAAGCCACGGCUAACUACGUG